GAUGAACGCUGGCGGCGUGCCUAAUACAUGCAAGUCGAACGCUUCACUUCGGUGGAGAGUGGCGAACGGGUGAGUAAUACAUAAGUAACCUGGCAUCUACAGGGGGGUGACUGAUGGAAACGUCAGCUAAGACCGCAUAGGGGUAGAGAUCGCAUGAUCUCUAUAUGAAACGUGCUACGGGACUGGUAGAUGGUGGACUUAUGGCGCAUUAGCUUGUUGGUAGGGUAACGGCCUACCAAGGCGACGAUGCGUAGCCGACCUGAGAGGGUGACCGGCCACACUGGGACUGAGACACGGCCCAGACUCCUACGGGAGGCAGCAGUAGGGAAUUUUCGGCAAUGGGGGAAACCCUGACCGAGCAACGCCGCGUGAAGGAAGAAGUAAUUCGUUAUGUAAACUUCUGUCAUAGAGGAAGAACGGUGGAUAUAGGGAAUGAUAUCCAAGUGACGGUACUCUAUAAGAAAGCAACGGCUAGCUACGUG
This 482-nucleotide ribosomal RNA is filed under the name uncultured bacterium. RNAcentral describes it as "partial 16S ribosomal RNA". It matches the Rfam family "Bacterial small subunit ribosomal RNA", at positions 28 to 507 of the family's 1533-position model. The record is from RNAcentral.